This 427-nucleotide ribosomal RNA is filed under the name uncultured bacterium. RNAcentral's name for it is "bacterial SSU rRNA". It matches the Rfam family "Bacterial small subunit ribosomal RNA", at positions 355 to 774 of the family's 1533-position model. The record is from RNAcentral.
UGGGGAAUUUUGGACAAUGGGCGCAAGCCUGAUCCAGCAAUGCCGUGUGCAGGAUGAAGGCCUUCGGGUUGUAAACUGCUUUUGUACGGAGCGAAAAGGUCUGCCCUAAUACGGUGGGCUCAUGACGGUACCGUAAGAAUAAGCACCGGCUAACUACGUGCCAGCAGCCGCGGUAAUACAGAGGGUGCAAGCGUUAAUCGGAAUUACUGGGCGUAAAGCGUGCGCAGGCGGUUAUGCAAGACAGAGGUGAAAUCCCCGGGCUCAACCUGGGAACUGCAUUUGUGACUGCAUGGCUAGAGUACGGUAGAGGGGGAUGGAAUUCCGCGUGUAGCAGUGAAAUGCGUAGAUAUGCGGAGGAACACCGAUGGCGAAGGCAAUCCCCUGGGCCUGUACAGACGCUCAUGCACGAAAGCGUGGGGAGCAAACA